Molecule: ribosomal RNA, 493 nt
Filed under: uncultured bacterium
Lineage: Bacteria
Description: bacterial SSU rRNA
Rfam family: Bacterial small subunit ribosomal RNA
Source: RNAcentral
GAGUUUGAUCUUGGCUCAGGACGAACGCUGGCGGCGUGCCUAACACAUGCAAGUCGCACGGGACCCGCAAGGGUCCAGUGGCAGACGGGUGCGUAACACGUGAGGAACAUGCCAAUCGGCGGGGGAUAGCCGGCCCAACGGCCGGGUAAUACCGCGUAUCGCCGCCUGGGGGCAUCCCCGGGCGGUGAAAGCAGCAAUGCGCCGAUUGAGUGCCUCGCGGCCUAUCAGCUAGUUGGUGAGGUAAUGGCUCACCAAGGCGACGACGGGUAGCUGGUCUGAGAGGAUGAUCAGCCACAUUGGGACUGAGACACGGCCCAGACUCCUACGGGAGGCAGCAGUGGGGGAAUAUUGCGCAAUGGCCGAAAGGCUGACGCAGCGACGCCGCGUGUGGGAUGAAGGUCUUCGGAUUGUAAACCACUGUCGCGAGGGACGAAAUUCUGACGGUACCUCGAAAGGAAGCACCGGCUAACUCUGUGCCAGCCGCCGCCGUAAG